UACGUAGGGACCAAGCGUUGUUCGGAUUUACUGGGCGUAAAGGGCGCGUAGGCGGCAAUUCAAGUCAUCUGUGAAAUCUCCGGGCUUAACUCGGAACGGUCAGAUGAUACUGCUUUGCUAGAGUGCGGAAGGGGCAAUCGGAAUUCUUGGUGUAGCGGUGAAAUGCGUAGAUAUCAUUUGGAACGCCAAUGGUGAAAACAGGUAGCUGGGGAUGUGCUGACGCUGAGACACGAAAGCCAGGGGAGCGAACGGG
RNAcentral lists this ribosomal RNA (253 nucleotides) under uncultured bacterium. RNAcentral describes it as "partial 16S ribosomal RNA". It matches the Rfam family "Bacterial small subunit ribosomal RNA", at positions 524 to 776 of the family's 1533-position model. The record is from RNAcentral.